Molecule: ribosomal RNA, 291 nt
Filed under: uncultured microorganism
Description: partial 16S ribosomal RNA
Rfam family: Bacterial small subunit ribosomal RNA
Source: RNAcentral
GAGUUUGAUCAUGGCUCAGAUUGAACGCUGGCGGCAUGCCUUACACAUGCAAGUCGAACGGCAGCAUGAUCUAGCUUGCUAGAUUGAUGGCGAGUGGCGAACGGGUGAGUAAUACAUCGGAACGUGCCCUGUAGUGGGGGAUAACUAGUCGAAAGAUUAGCUAAUACCGCAUACGACCUGAGGGUGAAAGUGGGGGACCGCAAGGCCUCAUGCUAUAGGAGCGGCCGAUGUCUGAUUAGCUAGUUGGUGGGGUAAAGGCCCACCAAGGCGACGAUCAGUAGCUGGUCUGAG